RNAcentral lists this ribosomal RNA (468 nucleotides) under uncultured bacterium. Its description in RNAcentral is "partial 16S ribosomal RNA". It matches the Rfam family "Bacterial small subunit ribosomal RNA", at positions 28 to 507 of the family's 1533-position model. The record is from RNAcentral.
GACGAACGCUGGCGGCGUGCUUAACACAUGCAAGUCGAACGGAAAGGCCCUGCUUUUGUGGGGUGCUCGAGUGGCGAACGGGUGAGUAACACGUGAGUAACCUGCCCUUGACUUUGGGAUAACUUCAGGAAACUGGGGCUAAUACCGGAUAGGAGCUCCUGCUGCAUGGUGGGGGUUGGAAAGUUUCGGCGGUUGGGGAUGGACUCGCGGCUUAUCAGCUUGUUGGUGUGGUAGUGGCUUACCAAGGCUUUGACGGGUAGCCGGCCUGAGAGGGUGACCGGCCACAUUGGGACUGCGAUACGGCCCAGACUCCUACGGGAGGCAGCAGUGGGGAAUAUUGCACAAUGGGCGGAAGCCUGAUGCAGCAACGCCGCGUGCGGGAUGACGGCCUUCGGGUUGUAAACCGCUUUCGCCUGUGACGAAGCGUGAGUGACGGUAAUGGGUAAAGAAGCACCGGCUAACUACGUG